CCUACGGGUGGCUGCAGUCGAGAAUCAUUCACAAUGGGGGAAACCCUGAUGGUGCGACGCCGCGUGGGUAAAUGAAGGUCUUCGGAUUGUAAACCCCUGUCAUGUGGGAGCAAAUUAAAAAGAUAGUACCACAAGAGGAAGAGACGGCUAACUCUGUGCCAGCAGCCGAGGUAAUACAGAGGUCUCAAGCGUUGUUCGGAAUCACUGGGCGUAAGGCGUGCGUAGGCUGUUUCGUAAGUCGUGUGUGAAAGGCGCGGGCUCAACCCGCGGACGGCACAUGAUACUGCGAGACUAGAGUAAUGGAGGGGGAACCGGAAUUCUCGGUGUAGCAGUGAAAUGCGUAGAUAUCGAGAGGAACACUCGUGGCGAAGGCGGGUUCCUGGACAUUAACUGACGCUGAGGCACGAAGGCCAGGGGAGCGAAAGGGAUUAGAUACCCUGGUAGUC
RNAcentral lists this ribosomal RNA (446 nucleotides) under uncultured bacterium. RNAcentral describes it as "partial 16S ribosomal RNA". It matches the Rfam family "Bacterial small subunit ribosomal RNA", at positions 338 to 795 of the family's 1533-position model. The record is from RNAcentral.